GCAGGUGCGCAGGUUGCGGUUACUUCCGCCUUGAAAGCGGGUGACGCGGGUUCGAAUCCCGCCGCCGGCA
RNAcentral lists this transfer RNA (70 nucleotides) under Streptomyces sp. NRRL F-5122. It matches the Rfam family "tRNA", at positions 15 to 71 of the family's 71-position model. Rfam says of the family: Transfer RNA (tRNA) molecules are approximately 80 nucleotides in length. Lineage: Bacteria; Bacillati; Actinomycetota; Actinomycetes; Kitasatosporales; Streptomycetaceae. The record is from Rfam by way of RNAcentral. RNAcentral also lists the same sequence under 1 other name.